AUUGGAGGCGGAAACAGCCACGAAAAGCGGUGGAAGUAGCCUCUGGCCUUUCUGAGCCGUCUGGGAUCCUUUGGGUGCUUCUCAUAAGCUGGAGGCUGUCCAACCUCUGUGCUUCAAUAAAGACCAACUAGACCAACUAGUACUUAAAAACAUGGCAAAUAAUUUGGCAUAAUGUGCAUCAGAAAUGCUUCUACCACGUGCAACACAGAAUUACAAGGAGAAGAAAGACAUCAGAGCAUGAUGUCUCCCUCUAUAUGGAAAAGGCCAUGUAGUGACACAGUGAGAAGGUGGCCAUCUACAAACCAGGAAGAGAGGCCUUGCUACAAAGCACCCCACUCAACACCUUGAUUUUGGACCUCUGGACUAUGGAACUGUGAGAAAAUAAAUUUACACUGGUUAAGUCACCCAGUCUAUGCUAUUUUGUUAUGGCAGCCCAAGUGAACUAAUACAGAGAGACAGACUCUUAAAAACAUUAAAUGCUAUCUUAAAUACGGGCAUGCCUCAGAAAUAUUGCAGAUUCAGUUCCAGAU
Molecule: non-coding RNA, 530 nt
Organism: Callithrix jacchus (white-tufted-ear marmoset)
Lineage: Eukaryota; Metazoa; Chordata; Mammalia; Primates; Cebidae
Source: RefSeq, a predicted model, not a curated record